Molecule: small nucleolar RNA, 137 nt
Organism: Cavia porcellus (domestic guinea pig)
Lineage: Eukaryota; Metazoa; Chordata; Mammalia; Rodentia; Caviidae
Source: Ensembl
AUGUCUCUGAAUCGAAGCUGGCAGUUUACUGAAGCUGUUGGUUUCAAGCGGGAGCCUAAAGUCAUAUGUUUCUAUGGUCUUUUGGCCACUUCAGAACUUUAGAAAUGUAAUGGUCAGUUUGUUAGAAAGAAGCAACC